RNAcentral lists this ribosomal RNA (216 nucleotides) under Campeiostachys nutans. RNAcentral describes it as "Elymus nutans partial small subunit ribosomal RNA". The stretch from base 44 to 216 matches the Rfam family "Eukaryotic small subunit ribosomal RNA", at positions 690 to 864 of the family's 1831-position model. Lineage: Eukaryota; Viridiplantae; Streptophyta; Magnoliopsida; Poales; Poaceae. The record is from RNAcentral.
GGGUUAGUAGGUUGGUCAUGCCUCUGGUAUGCACUGGUCACACUGAUUCCUCCUUCCUGAUGAGCCGUAAUGCCAUUAAUUUGGUGUUGCGGGGAAUUUGGACUGUUACUUUGAAGAAAUUAGAGUGCUCAAAGCAAGCCUACACUCUGUAUACAUUAGCAUGGGAUAACAUCAUAGGAUUUCGGUCCUAAUACGUUGGCCUUCGGGAUCGGAGUA